This 525-nucleotide ribosomal RNA is filed under the name uncultured bacterium. RNAcentral's name for it is "bacterial SSU rRNA". It matches the Rfam family "Bacterial small subunit ribosomal RNA", at positions 777 to 1300 of the family's 1533-position model. The record is from RNAcentral.
AAUAGAUACCCAGGUAGUCCAUGCCGUAAACGUUGGGCGCUAGAUGUGGGGACCAUUCCACGGUUUCCGUGUCGCAGCUAACGCAUUAAGCGCCCCGCCUGGGGAGUACGGCCGCAAGGCUAAAACUCAAAGGAAUUGACGGGGGCCCGCACAAGCGGCGGAGCAUGCGGAUUAAUUCGAUGCAACGCGAAGAACCUUACCAAGGCUUGACAUAUACGAGAACGCUCUAGAAAUAGAGAACUCUUUGGACACUCGUAUACAGGUGGUGCAUGGUUGUCGUCAGCUCGUGUCGUGAGAUGUUGGGUUAAGUCCCGCAACGAGCGCAACCCUCGUUCUAUGUUGCCAGCGCGUUAUGGCGGGAACUCAUAGGAGACUGCCGGGGUCAACUCGGAGGAAGGUGGGGAUGACGUCAAAUCAUCAUGCCCCUUAUGUCUUGGGCUUCACGCAUGCUACAAUGGCCGGUACAAAGGGCUGCAAUACCGCAAGGUGGAGCGAAUCCCAAAAAGCCGGUCUCAGUUCGGAUUG